RNAcentral lists this unclassified non-coding RNA (329 nucleotides) under soil metagenome. Its description in RNAcentral is "partial contains 5.8S ribosomal RNA, internal transcribed spacer 2, and large subunit ribosomal RNA". The stretch from base 1 to 120 matches the Rfam family "5.8S ribosomal RNA", at positions 35 to 154 of the family's 154-position model. The record is from RNAcentral.
GAUGAAGAACGCAGCGAAAUGCGAUAAGUAGUGUGAAUUGCAGAAUUCAGUGAAUCAUCGAAUCUUUGAACGCACAUUGCGCCCCUUGGUAUCCCGAGGGGCAUGCCUGUUCGAGCGUCAUUUCACCACUCAAGCCUGGCUUGGUGUUGGGCGACGUCCCCUUUGGGGACGCGCCUCGAAACGCUCGGCGGCGUGGCACCGACUUUAAGCGUAGCAGAAUCUUUCGCUUUGGAAGUCGGGGCCCCGUCUGCCGGAAGACCUACUCGCAAGGUUGACCUCGGAUCAGGCAGGGAUACCCGCUGAACUUAAGCAUAUCAAUAAGCGGAGGA